This 505-nucleotide ribosomal RNA is filed under the name uncultured bacterium. RNAcentral's name for it is "partial 16S ribosomal RNA". It matches the Rfam family "Bacterial small subunit ribosomal RNA", at positions 28 to 523 of the family's 1533-position model. The record is from RNAcentral.
GAUGAACGCUAGCUACAGGCUUAACACAUGCAAGUCGAGGGGUAACGAGAGGAAAGCUUGCUUUCCUUGUCGACGACCGGCGCACGGAUGAGAACGCGUAUCCAACCUGCCCCCAACUAGGGAAUAACCUUGCGAAAGUAAGACUAAUACCCUAUAAUUUCCUCAGAUGUCAUCUGACGAGGAAUAAAGAUUUAUCGGUUGUGGAUGGGGAUGCGUGCUGAUUGGCUUGUUGGCGGGGUAACGGCCAACCAAGCCAACGAUCAGUAGGGGUUCUGGGAGGAAGGUCCCCCACAUGGGAACUGGGACAAGGCCCAAACUCCUACGGAGGCAGCAGUGAGGAAUAUUGGUCAAUGGGCGGAAGCCUGAACCAGCCAAGUAGCGUGCAGGAUGACGGCCCUAUGGGUUGUAAACUGCUUUUAUACAGGAAUAAAGUUAGCCACGUGUGGUUAUUUGUAGGUACUGUAUGAAUAAGGACCGGCUAAUUCCGUGCCAGCCGCCGCCGUAA